CUGAGCGUUAAAACUUUUCUGUCCGUUCCGCUCGCUUCACACAUACGAAGACAAACAACCAGGCUGUUUACUACAGCGUUCUGCUGCUUUCCCUAAAGAUAUCCCAAACAGCUAACAUGCAAACGAUUCAGAGACACUAGUUCACACAGAAAAGUGCCUCCUCGCGCAGCUGUCACCGCGGAUGUUCGUGCGCUCGUGCGUCAAUGUCGUUUCGUCACGUGACCCACCGAGCUGCAAACUUAAGCAGCCUUUGUGACAAAUGCAUCAUAAUCACCGAAGCAAAUGAGCCAGAGCAGUCAUCGAAAUCCUGCCUACGUUUAUUAUUUCUGAGAAAUCUGAGAGAUGAGACCAGAAAGCGGAUUCAAACAAUGUUUACUUUGAGCAAUAAUUGCUUGAGUAAAUAGCAUACUCAUACUCGUUUGUUGGGACUGCCAAUUUGCAUGUUAAUCGCUGCGUAAUGCAUACUUAAAAAAAAAAAAAGAAUAGCAUGCUUUGCACACUGUAAAGUACACAGUGUUCUGUUCUGAACACAGCCGUGGUUAGUUCAGCAGGUUAACUGCUGCUAGAUGUCAAAACCACAUCAUAACGUGACAUUUUCUACCCUGAAGACCAUUCAGAAUUGAUCCAUGCAUUCAGACUUGAUUAUAUAGUUUUCAAGCAACAUAAACAUCCCAAUAAAUCCAUUAUAGGCUCUUUUAAUAGAUGCUUUACCUAUGAUGGCCAGUUUUAGGAUGCAUAGAAGCAUCACAGGCUUGUUUUUCCCUGCUGUAAUAAUAGUGACUCAAUGGAAGCUGAUAGCCUUUGACUGUGGAGGUCAGAAGGCUCACGUCUGAACCUGCAGUGCUUUUUAAAUACUCUUUCUCCACUGACGUACCAACCAAGGGUUGAUUAAUCACAGUACAUUAAUACAAUUCUUUUGUAUGACAAGUUUUCUGAAAUUUAAAUACGCACUAAUCUGCAUACACUUUCAGAACAAAAUCUUUGGAUAAACCUAGGUUCAAAAUUCUUGUUUUGUUGACAUAUUAAAGGCGUAUAAUAUAUGAACAACCCUAUCUAUAAACGCGUUCAGAAUAUAGA
Cyprinus carpio carpio is the source of this 1077-nucleotide long non-coding RNA. NCBI's taxonomy places the organism in Eukaryota, Metazoa, Chordata, Actinopteri, Cypriniformes, Cyprinidae. The record is from Ensembl.